Small nuclear RNA from Schistocerca serialis cubense, 107 nucleotides. NCBI's taxonomy places the organism in Eukaryota, Metazoa, Arthropoda, Insecta, Orthoptera, Acrididae. The record is from RefSeq and is a predicted model, not a curated record.
GUACUCGCUUCGGCGGUACAUAUACUAAAAUUGGAACGAUACAGAGAAGAUUAGCAUGGCCCCUGCGCAAGGAUGACACGCAAGAUAAAUAAAAAAAAAAUUUAAAA